RNAcentral lists this ribosomal RNA (207 nucleotides) under uncultured bacterium. Its description in RNAcentral is "partial 16S ribosomal RNA". It matches the Rfam family "Bacterial small subunit ribosomal RNA", at positions 568 to 774 of the family's 1533-position model. The record is from RNAcentral.
CGCGUAGGCGGGCUUGCCGGUCCGGGGUGAAAGCCCCCAGCUCAACUGGGGAAGCGCCUUGGAUACCGCAAGCCUGGAGGGAGGUAGGGGCGUGCGGAACUUCCGGUGGAGCGGUGAAAUGCGUAGAUAUCGGAAGGAACACCGGUGGCGAAAGCGGCGCGCUGGACCUCUUCUGACGCUGAGGCGCGAAAGCCAGGGGAGCAAACG